This 1589-nucleotide long non-coding RNA is filed under the name Homo sapiens (human). RNAcentral describes it as "HSALNT0232609". Lineage: Eukaryota; Metazoa; Chordata; Mammalia; Primates; Hominidae. The record is from RNAcentral.
GUCACACUCCUGUACUCUCAUCAGGGUUUAUAUAUGGUGGGCUAAGAGGAGUGUUGAGUGUUAGCUAUGGGGCAGGACAGAUGGGGUGGCCCAGCUGCCAUCUGUUUACAUGAGGAACAGGAAGCUGUCCUCCUGCCCUGGCCUCCCAAAGUGCUGCGAUUACAGGAGUAAGGCACUACUCUCGACCUUUGUUUUUUCAAUUGUCUUGUUUUUGAGACAGGGUCUUGCUCUGUCACCCAGGCUGGAGUGCAGUGGCACUAUCGCAGCUCACUGCAGCCUUGACCUUCCCAGCUCAAGCAACCCUCUCACCUCAACCUUUCAAGUAGCUGGGACUUUAGGCACACGCCGCCAUGCCUGGCUAGUUUUUGUAUUUUUAGUAGAGAUGGAGUUUCACCAUGUUGCCCAGGCUGGUCUCAAACUCCUGGGCUCAAGCGAUCUGCCCACCUCAGCUUCCCAAAGUGCUGGGUUACAGGUGUGAGGCACCACACCCAGCCUUCUAAUCUUUUCAUAGAAAACAUUAAUACUUGUGUACUUACGCCAAACCACAGUCUGGAUAGUAACAGGAAGUUUGCAUUUUGUUUAUCUCUGGGCAGGAUGAAGGAAGGUAGGUGGGGGUGGGGAAGGAUUGUGGGUGAUUUUUAUUUUCUUUGUAUUUAGCAAUAUUUUCUGCUUUAUGUGAAGUAGACAUAUUUUCUUUGUAUUAAAAGAGCAAAAUAAAUUUGUUUUCUUUAAAAGCAAAACAAGAAAAAACAGGAAACUCUGCAGGUGACAAGUGGGUCCAUAAUAGGGAGCCAGCCACGGAGGUGAGAUAAGGGGGGAGUCCUUCGAAAGUGGCCUGGGGAGUAGGAGAGAGUGGGAACUUCCCCUGGAAACAUUCCCUCUUUCAUGUCUUUCUGGCCCCUUGACUUGAGAGUGCUUGACUUGGUUAUGGUCCCACCCCAAGGGGUGGAAGUGGGGACCGAACAGGACCAUUGUCUGCCCAUCAGGUCUGUGGGGGUCGAGGGGGAGGUGGGGAGUACUGGGAACCUGGAGACUGGGGAUGCUUUCUCACACUCACUAGUACUAGAAGAUGGGGAAGGUGAACCAGGCUGGAGGUCGAGUUAACAGGGUAAAGAGGCCAGGGCCCUAGUUUCGCAUCCGCCGACUGGCAGCUCUUCUUACGUGUUCUUUCACGGAAGCCCCUCCUUGGGAAGCCCCGCGCCCCACCCACCAGGAGUCGUCCCUUUUUGGGCGGGGCUGAGGCUUCCAGGCUGGGUCCUGAGAAAGUUUGGUGGCCGGAGACUGUGGGGCGCUUAGGUACCGACCUAACAACUUCUGCGCCUGUUUCCAGGGACGAGCCACGCACGGUGCCCCCUGAACACCUAACAGUCCCGGGGGCAGCCCCACCUCUGGCUGGGUGGACAGAGACAGCCUGUGGGCGUGGCCCAGAACUGAAAGCCUGUGACUCCUUGCGACCCGCCGGGCACACCCCCUACUCAGCUACGCAGCUCCCACUAGCCCACCCUCAAGCUGGGGUUUCGCACGUGCGAUCGGCUGGGGUGGGCAAGGGGGUCUCCGCUCAAGGAAAGUAUUCAGAACCAGCCCCUUCU